RNAcentral lists this small nucleolar RNA (148 nucleotides) under Mesocricetus auratus (golden hamster). Its description in RNAcentral is "Small nucleolar RNA SNORA44 (ENSMAUG00000005173.1)". It matches the Rfam family "Small nucleolar RNA SNORA44". Rfam says of the family: ACA44 is a member of the H/ACA class of snoRNA that guide the sites of modification of uridines to pseudouridines. Lineage: Eukaryota; Metazoa; Chordata; Mammalia; Rodentia; Cricetidae. The record is from Rfam by way of RNAcentral.
UAGCAAGCCCCCAGGACCCACCUGUUUCUGCACUCAUAGAACUGAGGUUAUGUGGCCAUGGGCUCUCCAGCUGCAUCCCAGAGUAGCUGGAGAGCCUUUGACAUCCCAGGCCAGCAUAGUGCCUGCAACUGACAUGGCUUUUGUAGUG